This 406-nucleotide ribosomal RNA is filed under the name uncultured bacterium. RNAcentral describes it as "partial 16S ribosomal RNA". It matches the Rfam family "Bacterial small subunit ribosomal RNA", at positions 30 to 526 of the family's 1533-position model. The record is from RNAcentral.
AUUGAACGCUGGCGGCAGGCCUAACACAUGCAAGUCGAACGAGUGGCGGACGGGUGAGUAAUGUAUGGGGAUCUGCCCGAUAGAGGGGGAUAACUACUGGAAACGGUGGCUAAUACCGCAUACUGUCGGAUGAACCCAUAUGGGAUUAGCUAGUAGGUAAGGUAAUGGCUUACCUAGGCGACGAUCCCUAGCUGGUCUGAGAGGAUGAUCAGCCACAUUGGGACUGAGACACGGCCCAGACUCCUACGGGAGGCAGCAGUGGUGAAUAUUGCACAAUGGGCGCAAGCCUGAUGCAGCCAUGCCGGGUGUAUGAAGAAGGCCCUAGGGUUGUAAAGUACUUUCAGCGGGGAGGCGUUACCCGCAGAAGAAGCACCGGCUAACUCCGUGCCAGCCGCCGCGGUAAUUC